GUGCUCGCUUCGGCAGCACAUACACUAAAACUGGAACGAUACAGAAAUUAGCAUGGCCCCUGCACAAGGAUGAAACGCAAAUUCAUGAAGCAUUCCAUAUUUUU
This is a small nuclear RNA of Cavia porcellus (domestic guinea pig), 104 nucleotides long. The record is from Ensembl. Lineage: Eukaryota; Metazoa; Chordata; Mammalia; Rodentia; Caviidae.